RNAcentral lists this ribosomal RNA (483 nucleotides) under uncultured bacterium. Its description in RNAcentral is "partial 16S ribosomal RNA". It matches the Rfam family "Bacterial small subunit ribosomal RNA", at positions 29 to 506 of the family's 1533-position model. The record is from RNAcentral.
AUUGAACGCUGGCGGCAUGCUUUACACAUGCAAGUCGAACGGCAGCGCGGGCUUCGGCCUGGCGGCGAGUGGCGAACGGGUGAGUAAUACAUCGGAACGUGCCCAGUAGUGGGGGAUAGCUCGGCGAAAGCCGGAUUAAUACCGCAUACGACCUGAGGGUGGAAGCGGGGGAUCUUCGGACCUCGCGCUAUUGGAGCGGCCGAGGGCAGAUUAGCUAGUUGGUGGGGUAAAGGCCUACCAAGGCGACGAUCUGUAGCUGGUCUGAGAGGACGACCAGCCACACUGGGACUGAGACACGGCCCAGACUCCUACGGGAGGCAGCAGUGGGGAAUUUUGGACAAUGGGCGAAAGCCUGAUCCAGCAAUGCCGCGUGUGUGAUGAAGGCCUUCGGGUUGUAAAGCACUUUUGGCGGGAACGAAAAGGACUGUGCCAAUACCACGGUUCGAUGACGGUACCCGCAGAAUAAGCACCGGCUAACUACGU